Molecule: transfer RNA, 75 nt
Filed under: Nitrospirales bacterium
Lineage: Bacteria; Pseudomonadati; Nitrospirota; Nitrospiria; Nitrospirales
Description: tRNA-Gly
Rfam family: tRNA
About the family: Transfer RNA (tRNA) molecules are approximately 80 nucleotides in length. Their secondary structure includes four short double-helical elements and three loops (D, anti-codon, and T loops).
Source: RNAcentral
GCGGGCAUAGCUCAGUGGUAGAGCAUCGCCUUGCCAAGGCGAGGGUCGCGGGUUCAAAUCCCGUUUCCCGCUCCA